RNAcentral lists this ribosomal RNA (564 nucleotides) under Fusarium avenaceum. RNAcentral's name for it is "eukaryotic LSU rRNA". The stretch from base 194 to 347 matches the Rfam family "5.8S ribosomal RNA". The record is from RNAcentral. Lineage: Eukaryota; Fungi; Ascomycota; Sordariomycetes; Hypocreales; Nectriaceae.
AAGCAUGGGUCUCCGUUUGGUGAACAGCGGAGGGAUCAUUACCGAAGUUUACAACUCCCAAACCCCUGUGAACAUACCUUAAUGUUGCCUCGGCGGAUCAGCCCGCGCCCCGUAAAACGGGACGGCCCGCCAGAGGACCCAAACUCUAAUGUUUCUUAUUGUAACUUCUGAGUAAAACAAACAAAUAAAUCAAAACUUUCAACAACGGAUCUCUUGGUUCUGGCAUCGAUGAAGAACGCAGCAAAAUGCGAUAAGUAAUGUGAAUUGCAGAAUUCAGUGAAUCAUCGAAUCUUUGAACGCACAUUGCGCCCGCUGGUAUUCCGGCGGGCAUGCCUGUUCGAGCGUCAUUUCAACCCUCAAGCCCCCGGGUUUGGUGUUGGGGAUCGGCUCUGCCUUCUGGCGGUGCCGCCCCCGAAAUACAUUGGCGGUCUCGCUGCAGCCUCCAUUGCGUAGUAGCUAACACCUCGCAACUGGAACGCGGCGCGGCCAUGCCGUAAAACCCCAACUUCUGAAUGUUGACCUCGGAUCAGGUAGGAAUACCCGCUGAACUUAAGCAUAUAAAGG